This 328-nucleotide ribosomal RNA is filed under the name uncultured eukaryote. RNAcentral's name for it is "partial 18S ribosomal RNA". It matches the Rfam family "Eukaryotic small subunit ribosomal RNA", at positions 1470 to 1796 of the family's 1831-position model. The record is from RNAcentral.
CCCUUAGACGUUCUGGGCCGCACGCGCGCUACACUGACGGAGCCAGCGAGUAUAAACCUUGGCCGAGAGGUCUGGGAAAUCUUGUGAAACUCCGUCGUGCUGGGGAUAGAGCAUUGUAAUUAUUGCUCUUCAACGAGGAAUUCCUAGUAAGCGCAAGUCAUCAGCUUGCGUUGAUUACGUCCCUGCCCUUUGUGCACACCGCCCGUCGCUACUACCGAUUGAAUGGCUUAGUGAGGCUUCCGGAUUGGUUUAGAGAAGGGGGCAACUCCAUCUUGGAACCGAGAAGCUAGUCAAACUUGGUCAUUUAGAGGAAGUAAAAGUCGUAACA